CACCGCGGUUAUACGAGAGGCCCAAGUUGAUAGACGCCGGCGUAAAGAGUGGUUAGGAAGUUUUUUAAAAUAAAGCCGAAUGCCCUCAGAACUGUCGUACGUACCCGAAGGCAAGAAGCCCCACUACGAAAGUGGCUUUAUACCCCCGACCCCACGAAAGCUGCGAAA
This 168-nucleotide ribosomal RNA is filed under the name Boulengerochromis microlepis (giant cichlid). RNAcentral's name for it is "partial 12S rRNA". The record is from RNAcentral. Lineage: Eukaryota; Metazoa; Chordata; Actinopteri; Cichliformes; Cichlidae.